Molecule: ribosomal RNA, 1155 nt
Filed under: 'Allium cepa' phytoplasma
Lineage: Bacteria; Bacillati; Mycoplasmatota; Mollicutes; Acholeplasmatales; Acholeplasmataceae
Description: bacterial SSU rRNA
Rfam family: Bacterial small subunit ribosomal RNA
Source: RNAcentral
UUUUUAUCUUUUAAAGACCUAGUAAUAGGUAUGCUUUAGGAGGGGCUUGCGCCAUAUUAGUUAGUUGGUAGGGUAAUGGCCUACCAAGACGAUGAUGUGUAGCUGGACUGAGAGGUUGAACAGCCACAUUGGGACUGAGACACGGCCCAAACUCCUACGGGAGGCAGCAGUAGGGAAUUUUCGGCAAUGGAGGAAACUCUGACCGAGCAACGCCGCGUGAAUGACGAAGUACUUCGGUAUGUAAAGUUCUUUUAUCAAGGAAGAAAAGCAAAUGGCGAACCAUUUGUUUGCCGGUACUUGAUGAAUAAGCCCCGGCUAAUUAUGUGCCAGCAGCCGCGGUAAGACAUAAGGGGCAAGUGUUAUCCGGAAUUAUUGGGCGUAAAGGGUGCGUAGGCGGUCUAGUAAGUCAGUGGUGUAAUGGCAACGCUUAACGUUGUCCGGCUAUUGAAACUGCUAAACUUGAGUUAGAUAGAGGCGAGUGGAAUUCCAUGUGUAGCGGUAAAAUGCGUAAAUAUAUGGAGGAACACCAGAGGCGUAGGCGGCUCGCUGGGUCUUAACUGACGCUGAGGCACGAAAGCGUGGGGAGCAAACAGGAUUAGAUACCCUGGUAGUCCACGCCGUAAACGAUGAGUACUAAGUGUCGGGUUAAACCGGUACUGAAGUUAACACAUUAAGUACUCCGCCUGAGUAGUACGUACGCAAGUAUGAAACUUAAAGGAAUUGACGGGACUCCGCACAAGCGGUGGAUCAUGUUGUUUAAUUCGAAGAUACCCGAAAAACCUUACCAGGUCUUGACAUGUUUUUGCAAAAUGAUAGUAAUAUCGUGGAGGUUACCAGAAACACAGGUGGUGCAUGGUUGUCGUCAGCUCGUGUCGUGAGAUGUUAGGUUAAGUCCUAAAACGAGCGAAACCCUUAUCGUUAGUUGCCAGCACGUUAUGGUGGGGACUUUAACGAGACUGCCAAUGAUAAAUUGGAGGAAGGUGAGGAUCACGUCAAAUCAGCAUGCCCCUUAUGACCUGGGCUACAAACGUGAUACAAUGGCUGUUACAAAGGGUAGCUGAAACGCAAGUUCUUGGCCAAUCCCCAAAAACAGUCCCAGUCCCGGAUUGAAGUCUGCAACUCGACUUCAUGAAGUUGGAAUCGCUAGUAAUCGCG